Molecule: transfer RNA, 77 nt
Rfam family: tRNA
About the family: Transfer RNA (tRNA) molecules are approximately 80 nucleotides in length. Their secondary structure includes four short double-helical elements and three loops (D, anti-codon, and T loops).
CUGCGUGUAGCUCAGUCUGGUAGAGUUUUCGCUUUGGAAGCGAAAGGCCGUAGGUUCAGAUCCUGCCACGCAGACCA